This 428-nucleotide ribosomal RNA is filed under the name Brucella melitensis. RNAcentral describes it as "partial 16S ribosomal RNA". It matches the Rfam family "Bacterial small subunit ribosomal RNA", at positions 355 to 774 of the family's 1533-position model. Lineage: Bacteria; Pseudomonadati; Pseudomonadota; Alphaproteobacteria; Hyphomicrobiales; Brucellaceae. RNAcentral also lists the same sequence under 2 other names. The record is from RNAcentral.
UAGGGAAUCUUCCGCAAUGGACGAAAGUCUGACGGAGCAACGCCGCGUGAGUGAUGAAGGUUUUCGGAUCGUAAAGCUCUGUUGUUAGGGAAGAACAAGUGCCGUUCAAAUAGGGCGGCACCUUGACGGUACCUAACCAGAAAGCCACGGCUAACUACGUGCCAGCAGCCGCGGUAAUACGUAGGUGGCAAGCGUUGUCCGGAAUUAUUGGGCGUAAAGGGCUCGCAGGCGGUUUCUUAAGUCUGAUGUGAAAGCCCCCGGCUCAACCGGGGAGGGUCAUUGGAAACUGGGGAACUUGAGUGCAGAAGAGGAGAGUGGAAUUCCACGUGUAGCGGUGAAAUGCGUAGAGAUGUGGAGGAACACCAGUGGCGAAGGCGACUCUCUGGUCUGUAACUGACGCUGAGGAGCGAAAGCGUGGGGAGCGAACA